AUUGAAACACCGGUUCUCGUAAAAUCACCGAAGUUAAGCAACGUCGAGCCUGAUCAGUACCUAGCUUGGUGACUGCUUGGGAAUAUCAGUGCUGUA
This is a non-coding RNA of Acanthosepion pharaonis, 96 nucleotides long. NCBI's taxonomy places the organism in Eukaryota, Metazoa, Mollusca, Cephalopoda, Sepiida, Sepiidae. The record is from the annotation of a GenBank genome assembly.